CGGGCGGCGGCGGCCGGCGCUGCGGUCCUGCGCGGGGGUUCCGGCGGUGGCAUGACGCACGCCUGGAUCUUCACCGGGCCGCCCGGC
This 87-nucleotide transfer RNA is filed under the name Phytohabitans flavus. RNAcentral describes it as "tRNA-Ala". Lineage: Bacteria; Bacillati; Actinomycetota; Actinomycetes; Micromonosporales; Micromonosporaceae. The record is from RNAcentral.